CCCCGACCUGCGGCAGGCGGAGGAGGAUGCCGGCCGCCUGGAUGAGCUCGCAGCCCAGGAUGCGCAGAUCCCGGUGAGGAUCCCUGCGGAUUAUCGGCUGUGCUGCACACGUCGCCAAGCCAGUCCUGGAGGCUUCUGCGUCCCGUGGGUGCUCGCUGUGCACCUAGCCCAUCGCACACAGACCUUGGUGCCAGCGGGCCGCCAUCUGCACCCACUUUUACUUACUAAAAACGUUAUUUCUGCCAGCUGCACCAGUAUGGUAGCUCUUGACUACAGACACGCUGUGUAUGAUGCAUUUAUUUCUAGUAACAGAUCAUUGAUGAGCUGGGAACAACCCCCUUUUUA
Cygnus olor (mute swan) is the source of this 345-nucleotide long non-coding RNA. RefSeq lists it as uncharacterized. The record is from RefSeq and is a predicted model, not a curated record. The transcript is spliced from 2 exons. NCBI's taxonomy places the organism in Eukaryota, Metazoa, Chordata, Aves, Anseriformes, Anatidae.